This 408-nucleotide ribosomal RNA is filed under the name uncultured bacterium. RNAcentral describes it as "partial 16S ribosomal RNA". It matches the Rfam family "Bacterial small subunit ribosomal RNA", at positions 28 to 526 of the family's 1533-position model. The record is from RNAcentral.
GACGAACGCUGGCGGCGUGCUUAACACAUGCAAGUCGAACGAAGUGGCGAACGGGUGAGUAAUACGUGGGUAACCUGCCCUCCUUUUUGGGAUAAGCCUUGGAAAAGUGAUCUAAUACCGCAUAAAGGGGGCUUGGCUCGCGGCCUAUCAGCUGGUUGGUGUGGUGAUGGCCUACCAAGGCGGUUACGGGUAGCCGGGCUGAGAGGGGGGCCGGCCAGGUUGGGAAUGGGAACGUGCACAGAGACAUGCGGGAGGCAGCAGGGGGGGAGAUUGCAGACGGGGCGAAAGCAUGAUGCAGGGACGCGGCGUGGGGGAGGCAGGUUUGGGGGUUGUAAACCUGUGUCGAUAUCGAACGGGUAGGUGGAGAAGAAGUGCCGGCUAACUACGUGCCAGCAGCCGCGGUAAUAC